This is a non-coding RNA of Osmia lignaria (orchard mason bee), 1577 nucleotides long. Lineage: Eukaryota; Metazoa; Arthropoda; Insecta; Hymenoptera; Megachilidae. The record is from RefSeq and is a predicted model, not a curated record.
UUGAAUAAUUAAUUUAAAAAAGAAAAAUAAGGUCAAAGAUUGUUGCAUAAAAUUAAAUGGCCAACUGCAAAUUGACUUUGUGUCAAGGGGUUAAUAAUUGAAUCUAUCUUUCUAAGUACCCAUAAGAAACAAGAGGACGUAGAAAUUGAUUCGACAGAAGAAAGGAAGAUUUUUCUGUCUCUUGGGACAAUUGACACUUGCGAAUCUCCAGAAGAACGAAAGGGGGAUGAAAAUUGAAACAGGGCACAGUGCGUCAUCCUCUCACGCCAACCAAUAAGACGCAUAUUCUCACGCGUGCGUUCGUUAAUUACAAUUAUUAAGGCUACUUCAAGCGGUUACAAUACGGUAAUAAUUAUCGACAAACGUUUGUUACUUUUUUUUUUUUUUCACUCGAUCAUCGCUCUAUCAUCGUUACUCUACUAUAAUUUCUUGUAUAUAUAGUAUGUAUAUCGAUGAUGCUUCCAGUGUAGUGUCGCAAUUAGUAAUGGUAAUUUAGUAAUGGUAAUAAUAGUAAUUAGUAGCAAUAUAGUAAUAAUAAUAAUAAUAGUAAUAGUAAUAAUAAUAACGUUUAUCAUUAUUAUCCUCACUGUUCCUCGUUAACUGUUGUCUGUAUGUAGUAGGUUACAUAAUAGAUCUGCGCGGGUUCCAUCGAUACUUAAUUUUUUUUUCUUAUCACCCUACUUCAUUUUAUUUUUUAUUUUUCUUUUGCAAAUUUCUCUCUGUAUUUCGCGAACAAACAUUGUAAGAUUCAGAGAGAUGUUACACACGACCACGAACGAUUCAAGCAAUAAGAGAAACUUUUGUAAUGUUUCUUUUAUGGUUUCUCCUUGUGCUUUUUUUUGGGAGUGGUCCGAUUUUGUUUUAUUGUGUUCUGUUCUGUUUGUUCAUGAUUCUGACCAAUCUUGCUCCAUGGGAUCGAUAUCCGUCGACAGAGGUCGGGUUCUUUUUUUUUUUAUUUUCUCUGAUUGUUCGAUUCGAAUGGACGGCGAGUUUUUGCGUUUCCCAAGACGAAUAUAUGGAGAAUAAAUAAGAAUUGUCGUAGGAAUGUAAUAAAUCUGGGUGGUUGAAGAAUAGAGGACAUUGAAAAAGUGGGAAAAUAGUCUUGAGCGAAGGUUUUUAACAAAUUGAUAUCUUUUCAAUAGGAAAGUAAAAUAUGGAAGGUAACCGCAAGAAAGGACUUAUAAGAAAUUUUUUUCACGCCUCGUCUACUUAUUCACUGUUACACGAAGGGUCAACGAGAAACGAAUAGGUGUGCAAGCGACAAAUAUGGGGUCAAAGAAUGAAAGUUCUCAAAUAAAUUGAAUCCGAGGAGCGCUGAAGUGGCGAGUGUCAGCGACGCGACGGACAGAAAGCUGACUAGAAGAAAUUCCAGCGAAAAGAUGUGGAUCUGCGGCUGUGUAAGGGUCCCAUGAAAAAUUAUUCUCCCCAUGAGUAAUGAGCCAUAUCAAAAAGCGAUUGAUCAACGACAGCUAUCGACAGGUCAGCAUCCAGUCAGCAACAAAAUGGCCAGAUUCAAUGGUAAACGCGCGAUGCAACGUUCCUCCGACCUUGUUGUUCGCGUUAGAUGGAUCCCGGUG